Molecule: ribosomal RNA, 388 nt
Filed under: Choanoflagellata sp.
Lineage: Eukaryota; Choanoflagellata
Description: partial small subunit ribosomal RNA
Rfam family: Eukaryotic small subunit ribosomal RNA
Source: RNAcentral
AUUCCAGCUCCAAUAGCGUAUAUUAAAGUUGUUGCAGUUAAAAAGCUCGUAGUUGGAUUUCUGGUCUCUGUGUGAUGGUCCGCCGUGAGGUGAGCACUGUUGCUGGGGACCUUCUUCUUGAAGGGGUGUGGUGUUCUUAACUGAGUGCUGCAUUUAUUCAAGACCUUUACUUUGAAAAAAUUAGAGUGUUCAAAGCAGGCGUUUUGCUUGAAUACAUUAGCAUGGAAUAAUGGAAUAGGACUAGGGUUCUAUUUUGUUGGUUUCUAGGACUUUAGUAAUGAUUAAUAGGGAUAGUUGGGGGCAUUAGUAUUUAAUUGUCAGAGGUGAAAUUCUUGGAUUUAUGAAAGACUAACUUCUGCGAAAGCAUUUGCCAAGGAUGUUUUCAUUG